UGGUGGAGUGAUUUGUCUGGUUAAUUCCGAUAACGAACGAGACCUCAACCUAUUAACUAGUUUUGUUAAUCUUCGGAUUGGCGUAGACUUCUUAGAGGGACUAUGAGUGAUUAGCUCAUGGAAGUGAGGCAAUAACA
RNAcentral lists this ribosomal RNA (137 nucleotides) under uncultured eukaryote. RNAcentral's name for it is "partial 18S ribosomal RNA". It matches the Rfam family "Eukaryotic small subunit ribosomal RNA", at positions 1299 to 1458 of the family's 1831-position model. The record is from RNAcentral.